AACGAACGCUGGCGGCGCGCCUAAUACAUGCAAGUCGAGCGAGAAGGUGUAGCAAUACACUUGUAAAGCGGCGAACGGGUGAGGAAUACAUGGGUAAUCUACCAUCGAGUGGGGAAUAACCAGCCGAAAGGUUGGCUAAUACCGCGUACGCCUCCGAAUCUUCGGGUUCGGAGGGAAAGCCGCACUGUGAGUGCGGCGCUCUUUGAUGAGCUCAUGUCCUAUCAGCUUGUUGGUAGGGUAACGGCCUACCAAGGCUUUGACGGGUAGCUGGUCUGAGAGGACGAUCAGCCACACUGGCACUGCGACACGGGCCAGACUCCUACGGGUGGCAGCAGUAAGGAAUAUUGCGCAAUGGGCGAAAGCCUGACGCAGCGACGCCGCGUGGGGGAUGAAGGUCUUCGGAUUGUAAACCCCUUUCGGGAGGGAGAUGGAGCGAGCAAUCGUUCGGACGGUACCUCCAGAAGCAGCCACGGCCAACUUCGUGCCAGCAGCCG
This 494-nucleotide ribosomal RNA is filed under the name uncultured bacterium. RNAcentral's name for it is "bacterial SSU rRNA". It matches the Rfam family "Bacterial small subunit ribosomal RNA", at positions 29 to 517 of the family's 1533-position model. The record is from RNAcentral.